Nothoprocta perdicaria is the source of this 625-nucleotide long non-coding RNA. RefSeq lists it as uncharacterized. Lineage: Eukaryota; Metazoa; Chordata; Aves; Tinamiformes; Tinamidae. The record is from RefSeq and is a predicted model, not a curated record. The transcript is spliced from 4 exons.
GCUUCGGAAAGGAACCUGAAUUUCACCUUCAGUUAUUUUUAUUACUACUUUUAUUUUCUUCUGGCGUGGCUCGCCUUUGUCCUGGGGUCUCCGAGGGCCCAGAUUCAGGAAACUCAUUGCAGCUCCUUAAGAUUUGGGAGCUAAAGCAGAGCCCUGGCCCUUGGGGAGAUGGACAAAAAUGAGACUGGAGCGCUAAGCAAAUACAAUGCUGAGGUCUGUAAUUUAAGAAAACGAGGUAGAGGCUGCAGUUUAGCCCAGUGAACUUUGAAGAUCUACAUGCUGAAAACGAGGCUGAUUUUCCACCUUUCCAAUGAAUUCCCUGCCUAUCUUAAAUCCUGCAAAAUGUCACACUGGAAAACAUGUGUGCUCCAAAACCAGCAACUUGGAAGCUGUUGAAUAAAUAAGCACCCCUGUCUCUCCAAUACCAUCUCCCUCAACAAGAUCUUCCAYUGCUGUUGUUAGAGAGCCUGGGGAAAGGCAGUGGUUUUGCUGGAGCUCCUCUGUGGGCAGGCUCUGCUGGGGAGAACUUUGGUUUUGCAAACUGAAGAGCCCCUGAUGAACUGCAGAAGCARAAGGCUUCUUGCUUGUCCCUCUAUCUCAGGGGUUGCAGAGGGCUCCUUCAUCC